RNAcentral lists this small RNA (228 nucleotides) under Vigna angularis var. angularis. RNAcentral's name for it is "Non-protein coding transcript". Lineage: Eukaryota; Viridiplantae; Streptophyta; Magnoliopsida; Fabales; Fabaceae. The record is from RNAcentral.
CCUGCCAGCAUUGAAGAAUGUCACUUUUUGAAAAUUCUGCACGCCCACGACUGCAAGAAGCUUCAAGAAAUUAGAGGACUUCCAUUGAGUAUUAAGGAUUUCUCCGCAGCAAACUCUUCAGUUGAAGCCAACUCUUUGACAUUAAAACUCAGGCAGGCCAUUGAUUAUGGUGCAAUGGGAAUCUGUGUUCUUCCAGGUCGGAAAAUCCCAGAAUUGUUUGACCACUCU